GGCUCACCAAGGCGACGAUGCGUAGCCGACCUGAGAGGGUGAUCGGCCACACUGGGACUGAGACACGGCCCAGACUCCUACGGGAGGCAGCAGUAGGGAAUCUUCCGCAAUGGACGAAAGUCUGACGGAGCAACGCCGCGUGAGUGAUGAAGGUUUUCGGAUCGUAAAACUCUGUUGUCGGGGAAGAACAAGUAUGAUAGUAACUGAUCGUACCUUGACGGUACCCGACCAGAAAGCCACGGCUAACUACGUGCCAGCAGCCGCGGUAAUACGUAGGUGGCAAGCGUUGUCCGGAAUUAUUGGGCGUAAAGCGCUCGCAGGCGGUUCUUUAAGUCUGAUGUGAAAUCUUGCAGCUCAACUGCAAACGUGCAUUGGAAACUGGAGGACUUGAGUGCAGAAGAGGAGAGUGGAAUUCCACGUGUAGCGGUGAAAUGCGUAGAGAUGUGGAGGAACACCAGUGGCGAAGGCGACUCUCUGGUCUGUAACUGACGCUGAGGAGCGAAAGCGUGGGGAGCGAACAGGAUUAGAUACCCUGGUAGUCCACGCCGUAAACGAUGAGUGCUAGGUGUUAGGGGGUUUCCGCCCCUUAGUGCUGAAGUUAACGCAUUAAGCACUCCG
Molecule: ribosomal RNA, 618 nt
Filed under: Oceanobacillus sp.
Lineage: Bacteria; Bacillati; Bacillota; Bacilli; Caryophanales; Bacillaceae
Description: bacterial SSU rRNA
Rfam family: Bacterial small subunit ribosomal RNA
Source: RNAcentral